This 271-nucleotide ribosomal RNA is filed under the name uncultured prokaryote. RNAcentral describes it as "partial 16S ribosomal RNA". It matches the Rfam family "Bacterial small subunit ribosomal RNA", at positions 524 to 794 of the family's 1533-position model. The record is from RNAcentral.
UGCGUAGGGAGCAAGCGUUGUCCGGAAUUAUUGGGCGUAAAGGGCGCGUAGGCGGGAAUUUAAGUCAGAUGUGAAAACUGAGGGCUCAACUUGGAGAUUGCACUUGAAACUGGUAUUCUUGAGGGCAGGAGAGGAAAGUGGAAUUCCUAGUGUAGCGGUGAAAUGCGUAGAUAUUAGGAGGAACACCAGUGGCGAAGGCGACUUUCUGGACUGCACCUGACGCUGAGGCGCGAAAGCGUGGGUAGCGAACGGGAUUAGAUACCCCCGUAGU